Molecule: ribosomal RNA, 462 nt
Filed under: Triticum aestivum (bread wheat)
Lineage: Eukaryota; Viridiplantae; Streptophyta; Magnoliopsida; Poales; Poaceae
Description: partial small subunit ribosomal RNA
Source: RNAcentral
AUGGCUCGGGUGGUUGGUGCCUCCGGCGCUUGCGCGCUGCUCGUCGUCCUGCUCGUCGCGUGUGCCGCUUCCGCAGCGCGCACCGAGCCGGGCGCCGCGCGGCAGCUGUGGGACGACGGGAGGAAGGUGGGGGGAAGGACGGAGGUGAGGGACGUGGAGGGCGACAGGGAGGUGCAGGAGCUUGGGCGGUACUCCGUGGAGGAGCACAACCGGCGCCGGGAGGAGGGCUGCGAGGGCGGCGGCGGCGGCGUCUGCGCCCGGCUGGAGUUCGCCCGCGUGGUGUCCGCGCAGCGCCAGGUGGUCUCCGGAAUCAAGUACUACCUCCGUGUCGCGGCCGCCGUGGACAACGGCGCGGGGAGCAACGGCAUCAGCGAUGGACGCGUGUUCGACGCCGUGGUGGUCGUCAAGCCCUGGCUCCAGUCCCGCGCGCUGGUCAGGUUCGCGCCGGCCGACUCCAACUGA